This 24-nucleotide non-coding RNA is filed under the name Arabidopsis thaliana (thale cress). The record is from RNAcentral. Lineage: Eukaryota; Viridiplantae; Streptophyta; Magnoliopsida; Brassicales; Brassicaceae.
AUGAGUGUUUGAACUGGAAUAGUU